AUGGAAGACAACUGGUUAGUUUGGAACGUCAGGGGUUUGAACAACCCAGCUAGGAGAGCUGUGGUUAAGGAGGUGGUGUAUCGCAACAAUGUAUCCCUAGUUUGUUUGCAAGAAACGAAGCUAUCAUUCAUCGAUAGAGCUAUGGUGGCACAGUGAUGUGGCAAUGAGUUCUCGGAGUUUGCAUACCUACCCGCUGAGGGCACCAGAGGGGGCGUGCUGCUAGCA
This 225-nucleotide ribosomal RNA is filed under the name Triticum aestivum (bread wheat). RNAcentral describes it as "partial small subunit ribosomal RNA". Lineage: Eukaryota; Viridiplantae; Streptophyta; Magnoliopsida; Poales; Poaceae. The record is from RNAcentral.